RNAcentral lists this unclassified non-coding RNA (372 nucleotides) under Hevea brasiliensis (rubber tree). The record is from RNAcentral. Lineage: Eukaryota; Viridiplantae; Streptophyta; Magnoliopsida; Malpighiales; Euphorbiaceae.
AAAAAAAACAAGAACAACUACUGCCACCACCUCCUCCUCCUCCUCCUCCUGAUCGUCAACCUUCUUCCUCCUCCUCUAACCCUGCCAAGAAACCCCCUCCUAAACGCACCUCCACCAAGGACCGGCAUACCAAAGUCGAAGGCCGCGGCCGUCGAAUCCGCAUGCCUGCCACCUGCGCUGCCAGGGUUUUUCAGCUCACUCGUGAACUCGGCCACAAAUCCGACGGUGAAACCAUCGAGUGGUUACUACAACAAGCUGACCCCGCUGUCAUCGCUGCCACUGGUACCGGUACCAUUCCCGCCNCGCCAACUUCACUUCCCUUAACAUCUCUCUUCGCAGUUCUGGGUCUUCCAUCUCCGCCUCUCACCAUCU